Molecule: long non-coding RNA, 2769 nt
Organism: Monodelphis domestica (gray short-tailed opossum)
Lineage: Eukaryota; Metazoa; Chordata; Mammalia; Didelphimorphia; Didelphidae
Source: Ensembl
UACCUGGUGGCGUUUCUCUCCUCAACCUCUCUCGGCUUCCGACCUCUGCAGCACCCAUUGGCCAAUAGGCUGUCUGUCCGCGGAGUAUUGUCCAAUGAAUGGGCGCGCUGGGUCAGAGGCGGUGGCGAGGGCGGAGCGACGGCGCGAGCAGGGCGGAGAGGGAGAAGGAGGGGUGACGCAGCGGCGCGGUGACGCAGCGUGGCGGCGGCGACGACGGCAGCAGCGGCGGCGACGGCGUCGGUCGGUGUGAGGAGAGAGGGAGGGAAGGCGGAGAGAGCGAGGCGAGUGGGGGCGGCGGUGGCGCGGGCCGGAGGCGAUUCACUCAGCCCCUGCUUGAACAUAGCAUGGAAUGAGGAGCGCCUGGCCUGAUGAGACUUCUGAUUGUUACUUUGGUUGAGUGGAAACGUGCUUCCUUUUGAUCUCCAGUCACUGGGCUCUUAUCUGCCCUGUGGAACCAAGAGAAUCAGUUGGCUCCUAUUUGUGUGACAGGUCUUCAGGAGCUCACAGAAACCUCCCUGAUGUGAACAGGCCUCUGCCCCCGCUGCCCCUCCCGGGAUUUUCUAAGCACCCUGACCCACACUCACCCCCCUCUCUGGGGAGAGACAACAGGAUUCUGGAGCCGAGACCAUGUGACAGCAUUGCCCUUCCCCACCAUUCCCCCACCCCCGGCCUCUGCCGGUGCCAAGCCCAGGCCCUGGCCACGGCACCAUGAUGUUCCGAGACCAGGUUGGCAUCCUUGCUGGCUGGUUCAAGGGCUGGAAUGAGUGUGAGCAGACGGUGGCCUUGCUGUCACUGUUGAAGCGAGUCACCCGGACCCAGGCCCGAUUUCUGCAGCUUUGCCUGGAGCACUCCUUGGCAGACUGUAACGAUAUCCACCUUCUGGAGUCAGAGGCCAACAGUGCUGCCAUCAUUAACCAAUGGCAGCAAGAGUCCAAAGAGAAGGUCGUCUCCCUCUUGUUGUCCCAUCUACCCCUGCUCCAGCCUGGCAACACAGAGGCCAAGUCUGAGUAUAUGAAGCUGCUGCAGAAGGUGCUGGCCUACUCUAUAGAGAACAACGCCUUCAUUGAGGAGAGUCGGCAAUUGCUCUCCUAUGCCCUCAUUCACCCGGCCACCACAUUGGAGGACCGAAACUCACUAGCCCUCUGGCUCAGCCACUUAGAGGAACGGCUGGCUGGUGGCUUCCGGACCCGAGCUGAGACUGCCUACCACUCCCGCCAGGGCUCAGAUGAAUGGGGUGGCCCUGGGGAGGCUGGCCCUGGGGAGCUAGGGCCAGGCUGGCAGGACAAGCCACCACGAGAAAAUGGACAUGUGCCCUUUCACCCUUCUGGUGCAGUGCCAUCCACCAUCAACAGUAUUGGGAGCAAUGCUAAUGCAGGCCUCCCCUGCCCAAUGCACCCAAGCCCGCUGAAGCGUUCCAUGUCGCUCAUCCCCACGAGCCCGCAGGGCCCUGGUGAAUGGCUGAACCCAGAGGAAAUGGGGGCAAGAGCAGCCUUUGCCCCACCCGACCACGCGCCCCUCUCGCCCCAGAGCAGUGUGGCUUCCUCAGGCAGUGAGCAGACGGAGGAGCAGGGCUCCAGCCGGAACACUUUCCAGGAGGAUGGCAGUGGCAUGAAAGAUGUGCCAUUAUGGCUUAAGAGUCUUCGCUUACACAAAUACGCAGCCCUCUUCUCCCAGAUGAGCUAUGAGGAGAUGAUGACCCUGACUGAACAGCAUCUGGAAUCUCAGAACGUGACCAAAGGUGCCCGUCACAAGAUCGCCCUGAGCAUCCAGAAGCUUCGUGAGAGGCAGAGUGUCCUCAAGUCCCUGGAGAAGGAUGUGCUGGAAGGUGGGAACCUGAGGAAUGCUUUACAGGAGCUCCAGCAGAUCAUUGUCACACCCAUUAAGGCCUACAGCAUCCUUCAGGCAGCUGUGGUGGCUGCAGCCAAGGAGGGGGGCAGGGGGGAGCCGCCGCUGAGCGCUGAGCCCCCCCCAGCUCGCCCAGGCCCUGAGAAGGCCCCUGAGGCCAAGGAUGCCCCAGCAGAAAGCUAUCCCCCCCAGCCGGCCCCUGCCCCCAGUGAUGGUAGUGAGCCAGCCACAGCCCCUGUCGCCGAUGGAGACCUCCCUAGCCAGUUUACCCGUGUGAUGGGCAAAGUGUGCACCCAGCUGCUGGUGUCCCGGCCAGAUGAGGAAAACAUUACCAGUUACCUCCAGCUCAUCGAAAAGUGCCUGACACAUGAGGCUUUCACCGAGACACAGAAGAAGCGCUUGCUGUCCUGGAAGCAGCAAGUCCUGAAGCUGCUCCGAACGUUUCCCCGAAAAGCUGCCCUAGAAAUGCAGAGCUAUCGGCAGCAGCAGAAGGGCUGGGCUUUUGGCUCCAACUCUCUCCCCAUAGCUGGUUCUGUGGGGAUGGGAGUGACCCGGCGGGCCCAGAGGCAAUUCCAGAUGCCCCCUCGGGCCCUACCACCUAGCCGAAUGGGCAUCCUGAGCCCUGCGGGCAUUGGAGGCGUUUCACCUCGACAUGCCCUCACCAGCCCUAGUCUUGGGGGGCAAGGACGACAGAAUCUGUGGUUCGCCAACCCUGGAGGCAGUAACAGCAUGCCCAGCCAGAGCCGGAGCUCCGUGCAGCGCACUCACUCCCUCCCUGUGCAUUCCUCCCCCCAGGCUCUCCUCAUGUUCCCGCCAGAUUGCCAGGUCCCAGGCCCAGACCUGGAGAUCAACCCUACGCUGGAGUCUCUAUGCCUCAGCAUGACGGAGCACGCCUUGGGUGGCCCCACGGGGGAUCUCUGCUGA